GCCGAUAUAGUGCAGAGGUUAGCAUGCUCCCUUCCCACUGCGCACCUGUCGCCUUGUAGGUUUCCUCCCGUACUUGCUCGCAACUACCUGGACCUACAAGCGCCCAAGUGAGGGAGAGACACCAGUUCGAACCUGGUUAUCGGCA
Molecule: non-coding RNA, 145 nt
Organism: Cyphellophora europaea CBS 101466
Lineage: Eukaryota; Fungi; Ascomycota; Eurotiomycetes; Chaetothyriales; Cyphellophoraceae
Source: the annotation of a RefSeq genome assembly